RNAcentral lists this ribosomal RNA (914 nucleotides) under uncultured archaeon. RNAcentral describes it as "bacterial SSU rRNA". It matches the Rfam family "Archaeal small subunit ribosomal RNA", at positions 1 to 922 of the family's 1478-position model. The record is from RNAcentral.
UUCUGGUUGAUCCCGCCGGACCUGACUGCUAUCGGAUUGAUACUAAGCCAUGCGAGUCAUUGUAGCAAUACAAGGCAUACGGCUCAGUAACGCGUAGUCAACCUAACCUAUGGACGGGAAUAACCUCGGGAAACUGAGAGUAAUGCCCGAUAGAACAUUAUACCUGGAAUGGUUUAUGUUCCAAAUGAUUUAUCGCCGUAGGAUGGGACUGCGGCCUAUCAGUUUGUUGGUGAGGUAAUGGCCCACCAAGACUAUUACAGGUACGGGCUCUGAGAGGAGUAGCCCGGAGAUGGGUACUGAGACACGGACCCAGGCCCUAUGGGGCGCAGCAGGCGAGAAAACUUUGCAAUGUGCGAAAGCACGACAAGGUUAAUCCGAGUGAUUUCUGCUAAAGAAAUCUUUUGUUAGUCCUAGAAACACUAACGAAUAAGGGGUGGGCAAGUUCUGGUGUCAGCCGCCGCGGUAAAACCAGCACCUCAAGUGGUCAGGAUGAUUAUUGGGCCUAAAGCAUCCGUAGCCGGCUCUGUAAGUUUUCGGUUAAAUCUGUACGCUUAACGUACAGGCCGCCGGGAAUACUGCAAAGCUAGGGAGUGGGAGAAGUAGACGGUACUCGGUAGGAAGUGGUAAAAUGCUUUGAUCUAUCGAUGACCACCUGUGGCGAAGGCGGUCUACUAGAACACGUCCGACGGUGAGGGAUGAAAGCUGGGGGAGCAAACCGGAUUAGAUACCCGGGUAGUCCCAGCUGUAAACUAUGCAAACUCAGUGAUGCAUUGGCUUGUGGCCAAUGCAGUGCUGCAGGGAAGCCGUUAAGUUUGCCGCCUGGGAAGUACGUACGCAAGUAUGAAACUUAAAGGAAUUGGCGGGGGAGCACCACAAGGGGUGAAGCCUGCGGUUCAAUUGGAUUCAACGCCGGG